UCCAAACUACAUCACCACCCUGAUCACACUCCAUCUAGUCUGAUCUUGGAAGCUAAGCAGAGUCAGGCCUUAUUAGUACUUGGAU
This 85-nucleotide ribosomal RNA is filed under the name Gorilla gorilla gorilla (western lowland gorilla). The record is from RNAcentral. Lineage: Eukaryota; Metazoa; Chordata; Mammalia; Primates; Hominidae.